Molecule: long non-coding RNA, 1361 nt
Filed under: Homo sapiens (human)
Lineage: Eukaryota; Metazoa; Chordata; Mammalia; Primates; Hominidae
Description: long intergenic non-protein coding RNA 343
Source: RNAcentral
AGGCUGCAGUGAAUUCUACAAAGAGGCUAUGGGAAAGAAACCUGGAAAGUACCCUUGGCUGUGUACAUUUGAGUAAAGAGAGCACUAUAAAAUCAAAAACCAAUGAAAUGGUUUCCAGAACACAGAACUAUUAAGCUUAAGAAAAGGACAGAAGGAACUGAAGAGAGAGGAACUGUUUUGGAGCAUCACACUUCCACCUCAGAAGAAAUAAGGAAGGAAGGAGGAGGGUGUUCCCACGGCUCUUCAACCAGGCCGGCUCUUCAGCCUACAUCCCCAUCUCAUCAAGUAAAAGGGAUUUUUCAACUGGACCAACCAGAUGGUUUAACAGUGCACUCCCACACCAUUCAACUACGCAAGGGAGAUACACUUAACAUAUGCAGUCGUAUAACACCUACUAACAUUUUCAAACAUUAAACCUUUAAAAAAGAGUUCUAAAGAAAUAGAAGCUUGAAGUAUCAUCUCUCAAGUAUAUAGACACUACUUCAUGGUGUGGUAAUAUAUGCAUAUAGAAGCUAGUAAACACCUCCAGGAGAUGCAAAAGGAAUUAGAACUGCCACAAGGUGCAAGCAAAACCUUGAGGUGAGAAAAUCGAAUUUGGACACCGUUGAGGAGACUAUUGCAGUCAUCCAAGCUCAAGAUGGUGGAGCUUCAUCCUUGAGAAUAACCAAUGGGGAUAGAUUUAAGAGACACUUAGAGUCUGCAGCCAACAGGGCUGAAUGAGCAAUGGUGUCAGCUUCCUCAAACCACACAGCUGACCGUGGAGAAAGAGAUCGUUUGUCAAAAGACAGUUGAGGUCCUGUUACCGGGGGGAAAAAUGCCAGAAACAAAAGUUCUGUUUUUCCUCUUCUAAUCCUUCACCCAUCUGAGCUAAAGUCUAGACCUAAGGAGGCUACUAAUUCAGGGAUCGAGUAAUCUGCCAAGCAAGAGUUUAUUCAAGCACAGUUUGAAAUAAAGGUUUCAAAUGCAUAGCCUGUCGAUACUUUGGAAGGAUUCUCAUCAUAACGAGUAUGCAAUUUGCUAUAAAGAAGAAUGCCCAUUACGGACUAAAUGUUUAUGUCCUCCUAAAAUUCAUAUGUUGAAGGCCUAACUCUCAAUGUGAUGAUUAUGUGGAGAUGGUGCCUUUGGGAGGUAACUGGGCUUAGAUGUGGGCGUGAGGGUGGGGCCUCAUGGUGAAAUUUGUGCCCUUGUAAGAAAAACACACCACAGGUUUUCAUUCUUCCUCUGCCACAUGAGGCCACAGUAAGAAUGUGACCAUCUGCUAGCCAGGAGGAAAGUCCUCACUGGAACCCGCCCAUAAUAACACUCCAGUCUGGGGCUUUUCAGCCUCCAGAACCAUGAGAAAUAAAUUUCUAGUGUUUAAG